CAGCUCAAACACAGACAGAUCUUCUAGAGCCGAGGGAAUUUCUUUUCGCAGAAGCCAUUACUCCCCCCGAGAGAAGGCUGCAAAGCUGGGAAGCCCAGGGUGUGCUCCUCCCGCCCUUUUGGACCCCCGGGCUUGCACCGGCUGCACUCUGAGAACCAGCUGCGCGCGGAGCGGUGCAAUGCAGCACCCACCCUGCGAGCCUGGCAAUUGCUUGUCAUUAAAAGAAAAAAAAAUUACGGAGGGCUCCGGGGGUGUGUGUUGGGGAGGGGAGACCGAUGCUUCUAACCCAGCCCCCGCUUUGACUGCGUGUUGUGCAGCUGAGCGCGAGGCCAACGUUGAGCAAGGCCUUGCAAGGAGGUUGCUCCUGUGUAAUUCCGAAAGAAGGCUAGUCCGAAGGUGCAAAAUAGCAGAGAGAGGACGCGCCCCCUUAGGAACAAGACCUCUGGAUGUUUCCAGUUUCAAAUUGAAAGAAGAGGGGCG
RNAcentral lists this long non-coding RNA (480 nucleotides) under Pan troglodytes (chimpanzee). Its description in RNAcentral is "long non-coding RNA NONPTRT010382". The record is from RNAcentral. Lineage: Eukaryota; Metazoa; Chordata; Mammalia; Primates; Hominidae.